Molecule: ribosomal RNA, 1383 nt
Filed under: Staphylococcus aureus
Lineage: Bacteria; Bacillati; Bacillota; Bacilli; Caryophanales; Staphylococcaceae
Description: bacterial LSU rRNA
Rfam family: Bacterial large subunit ribosomal RNA
Source: RNAcentral
UAUUAGGCAAAUCCGUACUCGUUAAGGCUGAGCUGUGAUGGGAGAAGACAUUGAGUCUUCGAGUCGUUGAUUUCACACUGCGAGAAAAGCCUCUAGAUAGAAAAUAGGUGCCCGUACCGCAAACCGACACAGGUAGUCAAGAUGAGAAUUCUAAGGUGAGCGAGCGAACUCUCGUUAAGGAACUCGGCAAAAUGACCCGUAACUUCGGGAGAAGGGUGCUCUUUAGGGUUAACGCCCAGAAGAGCCGCAGUGAAUAGGCCAAGCGACUGUUUAUCAAAAACACAGGUCUCUGCUAAACCGUAAGGUGAUGUAUAGGGGCUGACGCCUGCCCGGUGCUGGAAGGUUAAGAGGAGUGGUUAGCUUCUGCGAAGCUACGAAUCGAAGCCCAGUAAACGGCGGCCGUAACUAUAACGGUCCUAAGGUAGCGAAAUUCCUUGUCGGGUAAGUUCCGACCCGCACGAAAGGCGUAACGAUUUGGGCACUGUCUCAACGAGAGACUCGGUGAAAUCAUAGUACCUGUGAAGAUGCAGGUUACCCGCGACAGGACGGAAAGACCCCGUGGAGCUUUACUGUAGCCUGAUAUUGAAAUUCGGCACAGCUUGUACAGGAUAGGUAGGAGCCUUUGAAACGUGAGCGCUAGCUUACGUGGAGGCGCUGGUGGGAUACUACCCUAGCUGUGUUGGCUUUCAACCCGCACCACUUAUCGUGGUGGGAGACAGUGUCAGGCGGGCAGUUUGACUGGGGCGGUCGCCUCCUAAAAGGUAACGGAGGCGCUCAAAGGUUCCCUCAGAAUGGUUGGAAAUCAUUCAUAGAGUGUAAAGGCAUAAGGGAGCUUGACUGCGAGACCUACAAGUCGAGCAGGGUCGAAAGACGGACUUAGUGAUCCGGUGGUUCCGCAUGGAAGGGCCAUCGCUCAACGGAUAAAAGCUACCCGGGGAUAACAGGCUUAUCUCCCCCAAGAGUUCACAUCGACGGGGAGGUUUGGCACCUCGAUGUCGGCUCAUCGCAUCCUGGGGCUGUAGUCGGUCCCAAGGGUUGGGCUGUUCGCCCAUUAAAGCGGUACGCGAGCUGGGUUCAGAACGUCGUGAGACAGUUCGGUCCCUAUCCGUCGUGGGCGUAGGAAAUUUGAGAGGAGCUGUCCUUAGUACGAGAGGACCGGGAUGGACAUACCUCUGGUGUACCAGUUGUCGUGCCAACGGCAUAGCUGGGUAGCUAUGUGUGGACGGGAUAAGUGCUGAAAGCAUCUAAGCAUGAAGCCCCCUCAAGAUGAGAUUUCCCAACUUCGGUUAUAAGAUCCCUCAAAGAUGAUGAGGUUAAUAGGUUCGAGGUGGAAGCAUGGUGACAUGUGGAGCUGACGAAUACUAAUCGAUCGAAGACUUAAUC